This 1346-nucleotide ribosomal RNA is filed under the name uncultured bacterium. RNAcentral's name for it is "partial 16S ribosomal RNA". It matches the Rfam family "Bacterial small subunit ribosomal RNA", at positions 28 to 1381 of the family's 1533-position model. The record is from RNAcentral.
GACGAACGUUGGCUGCGUGCUUAACACAUGCAAGUCGAACGGAAAGGCCCUGCUUUUGUGGGGUGCUCGAGUGGCGAACGGGUGAGUAACACGUGAGUAACCUGCCCUUGACUUUGGGAUAACUUCAGGAAACUGGGGCUAAUACCGGAUAGGAGCUCCUGCUGCAUGGUGGGGGUUGGAAAGUUUCGGCGGUUGGGGAUGGACUCGCGGCUUAUCAGCUUGUUGGUGGGGUAGUGGCUUACCAAGGCUUUGACGGGUAGCCGGCCUGAGAGGGUGACCGGCCACAUUGGGACUGAGAUACGGCCCAGACUCCUACGGGAGGCAGCAGUGGGGAAUAUUGCACAAUGGGCGGAAGCCUGAUGCAGCAACGCCGCGUGCGGGAUGACGGCCUUCGGGUUGUAAACCGCUUUCGCCUGUGACGAAGCGUGAGUGACGGUAAUGGGUAAAGAAGCACCGGCUAACUACGUGCCAGCAGCCGCGGUGAUACGUAGGGUGCGAGCGUUGUCCGGAUUUAUUGGGCGUAAAGGGCUCGUAGGUGGUUGAUCGCGUCGGAAGUGUAAUCUUGGGGCUUAACCCUGAGCGUGCUUUCGAUACGGGUUGACUUGAGGAAGGUAGGGGAGAAUGGAAUUCCUGGUGGAGCGGUGGAAUGCGCAGAUAUCAGGAGGAACACCAGUGGCGAAGGCGGUUCUCUGGGCCUUUCCUGACGCUGAGGAGCGAAAGCGUGGGGAGCGAACAGGCUUAGAUACCCUGGUAGUCCACGCUGUAAACGGUGGGUACUAGGUGUGGGGUCCAUUCCACGGGUUCCGUGCCGUAGCUAACGCUUUAAGUACCCCGCCUGGGGAGUACGGCCGCAAGGCUAAAACUCAAAGGAAUUGACGGGGCCCCGCACAAGCGGCGGAGCAUGCGGAUUAAUUCGAUGCAACGCGUAGAACCUUACCUGGGUUUGACAUGGAUCGGGAGUGCUCAGAGAUGGGUGUGCCUCUUUUGGGGUCGGUUCACAGGUGGUGCAUGCCUGUCGUCAGCUCGUGUCGUGAGAUGUUGGGUUAAGUCCCGCAACGAGCGCAACCCUUGUUCACUGUUGCCAGCACGUUAUGGUGGGGACUCAGUGGAGACCGCCGGGGUCAACUCGGAGGAAGGUGGGGAUGACGUCAAGUCAUCAUGCCCCUUAUGUCCAGGGCUUCACGCAUGCUACAAUGGCUGGUACAGAGAGUGGCGAGCCUGUGAGGGUGAGCGAAUCUCGGAAAGCCGGUCUCAGUUCGGAUUGGGGUCUGCAACUCGACCUCAUGAAGUCGGAGUCGCUAGUAAUCGCAGAUCAGCAACGCUGCGGUGAAUACGUUCCCGGGGCU